UUAUCCGGAAUGAUUGGGCGUAAAGGGUGCGUAGGUGGCAGAACAAGUCUGGAGUAAAAGGUAUGGGCUCAACCCGUACUGGCUCUGGAAACUGUUCAGCUAGAGAACAGAAGAGGACGGCGGAACUCCAUGUGUAGCGGUAAAAUGCGUAGAUAUAUGGAAGAACACCGGUGGCGGAGGCGGCCGUCUGGUCUGUUGCUGACACUGAAGCACGAAAGCGUGGGGAGCAAAUAGGAUUAGAUACCCUAGUAGUCCACGCCGUAAACGAUGAGAACUAGGUGUUGGGGGAAUAACUCAGUGCCGCAGUUAACGCAAUAAGUUCUCCGCCUGGGGAGUAUGCACGCAAGUGUGAAACUCAAAGGAAUUGACGGGGGCCCGCACAAGCGGUGGAGUAUGUGGUUUAA
Molecule: ribosomal RNA, 404 nt
Filed under: uncultured bacterium
Lineage: Bacteria
Description: bacterial SSU rRNA
Rfam family: Bacterial small subunit ribosomal RNA
Source: RNAcentral